This 374-nucleotide ribosomal RNA is filed under the name uncultured bacterium. Its description in RNAcentral is "bacterial SSU rRNA". It matches the Rfam family "Bacterial small subunit ribosomal RNA", at positions 28 to 396 of the family's 1533-position model. The record is from RNAcentral.
GACGAACGCUGGCGGCGUGCUUAACACAUGCAAGUCGAACGCGGUCCAACCAGUCGCAAGACUGGUGAAGACCGAGUGGCGAACGGGUGCGUAACACGUGAGAAACCUGUCCCGGUCUCUGGAAUAACGAAUGGAAACACUCGCUAAUACCGGAUGCCGUCGGAUCACCGCAUGGUGAUCUGACGAAAGGGCUACCGGAUCGGGAGGGUCUCGCGGCCUAUCAGCUUGUUGGGAGGUAACGGCUCACCAAGGCAUCGACGGGUAGCUGGUCUGAGAGGAUGAUCAGCCACACUGGGACUGAGACACGGGCCCAGACUCCUACGGGAGCAGCAGUGGGAAUCUUGCACAAUGGGCGCAAGCCUGAUGCAGCAACG